Non-coding RNA from Pelobates cultripes (western spadefoot toad), 1218 nucleotides. Lineage: Eukaryota; Metazoa; Chordata; Amphibia; Anura; Pelobatidae. The record is from the annotation of a GenBank genome assembly.
CUCAGAUUUUACAUAAGAGUACAAUAAACAUCGUUUAAAACAAUUUAACUUCCCUGUGAAACAAGUCUUUUCGAACACAAGGAUAUAGGUAUUUUCAGCUUUUGGAACAGCUUAUAUUUACCUCCUCCAGGAAGGCCCCCUGUCUUUUCCACUUCUCUUAGAUCAGGUUAGGUUAGGUUAUCCUCCUAUGGUUCUCACACUUUUCAGUACCUGCUCACCGAGUUAUGAACUAUCGCUGUGAGCUUAUCCAUCAAUCGGUUAUCCUCUAUUCUAAAUCCCAUCUCCUGUAAAAUCAGGAUUCUAUCUUUCAACAACCUUGACGUUAAGACUCUAUGAACCGCCAUAACGUUUUUGAUCUAGUUUUGCAGAUACCAACACACACACACAUACAUACAUAAUAGUGGAUUUUACUUAAAAGUCUUUAUGAACAUUCAUGGUAAAUACAAUUCAUUCCAAAGCAAAUAAACUAGAUACACAAAUAUGAGAAUACACAUAUUUACUUUGUAAAAAUGCAGGAAAUUUACAAUAAAUACACUUAAAUGUAUACUCACACCUAAACAACACACUUCAGGGUUUAUCACUAAACUGUUAAAGCACCUCUACAAUUUAAGAUUUGUACCCAAGAACCACAUUUGAUCAAAUGGCAAUCUGAGUACUUACAAGGAGCAAAUUGGGUGCAUAUUCAGCAUUUGCCUCUGACUGUGCAAAUUUGAAUGAAACAAUUAGAAAUAUGUUCCAGUAGGAAAAGCAUUACACAAAGAAAACAAAAAAAUGGAGUAGAAAUCCUCAAGGCCUCAAGUGCAGGAAAUAAAUGGUGUUUUUUUGAGUAAACUAUGACCCAGAGAAGAGGAUAGAGUGUGGAAUAGACAAUGUGGUGAAGUUAAAAAUCAUUUCAUGUGGACAAAUCUGUGGCUUUUCCAACCCUGUGCUUUGGAAAGAUGGAAAAUUAAAUGAAGUACUUUAUCUUAGGCUUCCUCCACCCACCGGUGGACCCCAUUUCACUGUAUUUAUUAAUGUUAUGCUUUUUGAAAGAUUAUGCUAGCAGUAGACAAAAUAAUUUAGUUCCAGUUCUGAAUACAUACCUAGGUGAGUCUGACCCAACUUGAGCCUCCAAAUUGCACGAAAUUAUUUCAUGUACUAAAAAACCCUUACAUACAUUUCACAAAUUAAACAGUACAUAAAAAUGUUAUGUGCAUUUGUGUGUCUAAAUUAUAUAUA